AAGGAUCAUUACCGUAGGGGCGUAACACCCCCUUCGAGAUAGCACCCUUGAUUUUCGAGCACCUUCUGUUUCUUCGGCGGGCCCGCCCGCCGGUGGACAACCUCAAACCCUUUAUUGCAAUAGCAGUACUCUGAUAAACAAAACAAAUAAUCAAAACUUUCAACAACGGAUCUCUUGGUUCUGGCAUCGAUGAAGAACGCAGCGAAAUGCGAUAAGUAGUGUGAAUUGCAGAAUUCAGUGAAUCAUCGAAUCUUUGAACGCACAUUGCGCCCUUUGGUAUUCCUUAGGGCAUGCCUGUUCGAGCGUCAUUUCAAACUUCAAGCCCCCCUUUAGCUUGGUGUUGGGCGUCUGUCCUCCCCCCGGGACUCGCCUCAAAUGCAUUGGCAGCCGGCACGUUGGCUUCGAGCGCAGCAGAAACGCGCGCGGCGUCCGACGGUGCCCGGCUCUCCAGGAAGCCUCCACCUCAAGUUUGACCUCGGAUCAGGUAGGGAUACCCGCUGAACUUAA
This is a ribosomal RNA of 507 nucleotides. The stretch from base 155 to 308 matches the Rfam family "5.8S ribosomal RNA".